UGACUUAGUACUGUAUAGGAAGAAAAAACCUAAUAACUGAGAUCAUCCAAGACAGAAAAUUUUGUUCGGCACUUGAGAAGGCGAAGGAAGAUGUAUGACUAAGAAAAUGAUUGGAAAAGCAUCAUGCUGCAGUUGUGUGGGACAUGUGUGUUAAGAACUGAAGCUUGACUUGUCUGUGAAAUGCAUCAAACCAAGCCAGAAAGCCAAAAGGAACCCGCUAAUGCACCUACAAUUUUACCAAUCACAACACUGGCAUUAAGGCUGAGCACUCUGCAAUCAGCAUCUCUGCUCCCUUAUCAUCCCCAAAGGAAAAAAACAAACAGCUCCACUUCAAGGUCUCCUUGGAUGUAAUUCCAUGCAUCGAGAGCUGUACAUGUUUGCUUGCCUCCAAGGAAAGAGCUGCUGGAGCUGUGGAGUGUGAC
Long non-coding RNA from Varanus komodoensis (Komodo dragon), 422 nucleotides. RefSeq lists it as uncharacterized. The transcript has 3 exons. The record is from RefSeq and is a predicted model, not a curated record. Lineage: Eukaryota; Metazoa; Chordata; Lepidosauria; Squamata; Varanidae.